GAUGAAGAACGUAGCGAAAUGCGAUACGUAAUGUGAAUUGCAGAAUUCAGUGAAUCAUCGAGUCUUUGAACGCACAUAGCGCCCCCUGGUAUUCCGGGGGGCAUGCCUGUCCGAGCGUCAUUGCUGCCCUCAAGCACGGCUUGUGUGUUGGGCCUCCGUCCUCCUCCCGGGGGACGGGCCCGAAAGGCAGCGGCGGCACCGCGUCCGGUCCUCGAGCGUAUGGGGCUUCGUCACCCGCUCUUGUAGGCCCGGCCGGCGCUUGCCGACACAUCAAUCUUUUUUCCAGGUUGACCUCGGAUCAGGUAGGGAUACCCGCUGAACUUAAGCAUAUCAAUAAGCGGAGGA
RNAcentral lists this unclassified non-coding RNA (345 nucleotides) under soil metagenome. RNAcentral describes it as "partial contains 5.8S ribosomal RNA, internal transcribed spacer 2, and large subunit ribosomal RNA". The stretch from base 1 to 120 matches the Rfam family "5.8S ribosomal RNA", at positions 35 to 154 of the family's 154-position model. The record is from RNAcentral.